GCCGGGCGCAGUGGCGCGUGCCUGUACUUGGGAUGCUGAGGUGGGAGGAUCACUUGAGUCCAGGAGUUCUGGGCUGUAGUGUGCUAUGCCGAUCGCAUAGCUACACUAAGUUCGGCAUCGGUCUCUAGGAGCAGGAGACCACCAACUUGCCUAAGGAGGGGUGAACCAGUCCAGGUUGGAAACAGAGCAGGUCAUAAAUCCUGUGCUGAUCAGUAGUGGGAUUGUGCCUAUGAAUAGCCACUGCACCCCAGCCUGGGCACCAUAGCAAGACCCCGUCUCUG
Molecule: signal recognition particle RNA, 281 nt
Filed under: Callithrix jacchus (white-tufted-ear marmoset)
Lineage: Eukaryota; Metazoa; Chordata; Mammalia; Primates; Cebidae
Description: Metazoan signal recognition particle RNA (ENSCJAG00000081745.1)
Rfam family: Metazoan signal recognition particle RNA
About the family: The signal recognition particle (SRP) is a universally conserved ribonucleoprotein.
Source: Rfam by way of RNAcentral